CUCAUAUGGUGUUAUGUUUUGGAUUUAUGACCAAACAAUGUUAAUAACUGAACAGUGCUAACUCAGCAAAAAAUUUUUUUCUCACUCUGGUACCCCAGUGAGUCAACUACGAGUGGGCAAGUGGCUGAAAGGUGACAGGGCUGACAUAUUGCAUCCAAACAGACAAAAGGAAUAUGCUAUAGCAUAUAAUGUCACGUUCAGCAGUAAAAGCUGGAGACAGGGGUUGAAUGGCAGUGAGUUUUAAGGUCUCUAGUGCUUAGAGACUGAAUGUGGAUCAAUUUGUGACUUGAGUGCGGGGGACUGAGCAACCUGUAUGAGGCUUAGCUGCCUACAAGUGUUAAACCACAACAGAUGUUGGUGGUCAUCUCAUGCAUUGGAGACAUGGAGCAGAAUCACUUAUGAAAAAGAAAUCACAAAAAUAUAGCAGCCUUUCUGGGUAGUGUGAUGGAUUCAAGCACAUCAUUCUCUGCCUGUCUUUCACAGCACCUAACAUGUAUGUCAAUGUUCCCAGUAUGGUUUGCAGAGACAACACACAGACAAACUGUGUCAGAACAUUUCAGCAACCCUGUUCCUGAAAAUUGCUAAGUGAUAAAGUCAAGACUGAUCCUUAAGAAAAUCCACAAAUUACCAUCUUCAUGACCAACACCUUCUCUUUCUAAAUAAACACAUUUUUUUUGCCUCUA
Molecule: long non-coding RNA, 683 nt
Organism: Passer domesticus (house sparrow)
Lineage: Eukaryota; Metazoa; Chordata; Aves; Passeriformes; Passeridae
Exons: 4
Source: RefSeq, a predicted model, not a curated record